GCAGGGGAGAAAAGACGCCGGUCCGCCGGGGACCAGGAGGGAGACGUGAAACCAGAGGCCCGGGGGCCCCCUCUCCGCCUGUGCGACUUGUAGUCUCGUACCAGACGCGUCCGCUUCACUGCUGAAUCUGAAAACGUGGGCUCUUGAGAGCUGCCCUUGGAAGGAGCUGUGCUUUCUGCCUCAUCUUUAACUUUUCGUUUAUUCAGCAAAUAUGUAUCAAGUUCCGACUUCGUGGAAGAGAUUGUGUUAGACACUGGGAGUAAUAGAAACAUAAUUAAGAAGCAGGGGUCCCGGACCUGAAGGGCCUGAGCGUCGGGUAAGGAGGCAACGCUUACACCGAACCUGUGCUGAGAUAAAUAACGAACAGUUCUGGCUCUUAGAGUUGGCCUGGGGGAACAAAAAUUCAAAAAGAAUAAAACCCCAAACAAACAGGAGGCUCUCCUUUGUCCUUUGAACGCCUCUGUCCCUUUGACCCUCCUGGCCUUGCGUGUGCUGCUUUUCCCAGUAAAUACUGCAAGGACUCUAUUCAGACUUUGUUUAUUUAUAUAUGUAUUUUAGAUGGAGUCUCGCUCUGUUGCCCAGGCUGGAGUGUAGUGGCACAAUCUCGGCUCACUGCAACCUCCGCCUCCUGGGUUCAAGCGAUUCUCCUGCCUCAGGCUCUCAAAUAGCUGGGAUUACAGGCGUGCACCACUAUGCUGGCCUGAUUUUUUGUAUUUUUAGUAGAGACGGGGUUUCGCCAUGUUGGCCAGGCUGGUCUUGAACUCUUGGCCUCAAGUGAUCCGCCCCCCUUCAGCCUCCCAAAGUGCUGGGAUUCCAGGCGUGAGCCACCGGGCCCGGCCUCAAUUCAGACUUUAUCUGCUUCAAGAAACCUCUCUGGGAUCCUCCGUCACUUCACUUUUUCAGGCAGCGUUAGGGCCUUGUCCUAACGCUUUGGGACGGGGUCCUAAUACUGUCUGAAGGAGCGAAGUGUUGGAAUGCUCAAACAGUACACUUCGUUGAUUUUGUACUGCCUCCUGUACCCUAGACUUUGAACCCUUUGAGACAGAUUAAAUGUGAUUUUGGUCUUGUAUUCCUCGCUGCCGUGUGCUGCUGAUUAAAAGUUUUUAUUUUGUACAAAUAGAUGUCCUCAGUCCUUUGUUUUGAACUUCCCCUAUUCGCUUGUGUUACAAUGUGUAUCUCUCUUUGCUCCUUGCAUUCGCUCAGCAUGUUAUUGGUUGGAUGCCUGGUGUGUUCCAGGUAUUAUGCUUGGCUUUGAGGUUGGCACAGUAACCUAAGGUCAGAAUAGUCUGUGCUUUUAGAGAGCUCACAGUUAUGUGGCAGUGAUAGAAGCUAAUCAAAGAUGUGUAAAAUUGCCACUGAGGAAUUGGCUGAAGUAAUUAUGUAGGCCGAGAAGUCCCAGAAUCUGCAGUUCACAAGCUGGAGACCCAGGAGAGCCAAUAUGUCAUUUCAGUUCAAGUCCAAAGGCUGGAGAACCAGAAGAGCUGAUGGUUUAUUUCCUGUCUGAAAGCAAACAGGGUGGAGACCCAAGGAAAACAGAUGACUGAGUCCUACUGGGAAGGCUAGAAAAGAUGACGUCCCAAGUCAAUCAGUCUGGUGGGAGCAGUUUCCUCCUACUGAGACUUUUUUCCUAUUCAGGCCUUCGAUUGACUGGAUGAGGCCUGCCCACAUUAGGGAGGGCACUCUCCUUUAUGCAAAUUUUAGUCUCAUCCGUAAACACCCUCACAGACAUGCGGAAUUAUGUUUGGUGGAAUGCCUAAUGACACAUAAAAUUAACCAUUACAAUCAUUGUCUUUGUAUCAAUGUGAAGCUAUUGAUGUGUUAAAGCAAGUUAUUUAUUGUGUAGCUCUUUUUUUUUUUUUUUUUUGAGGUGGAGUUUCGCUCUUGUUGCCCAGGCUAGAGUGCAAUGACGUGAUCUCAGCUCACUGCAACCUCCGCCUCCCGGGUGUAUAGACCGGGUUUCUCCAUGUUGGUCAGGCUGAUCAGAAACUCCCGACCUCAGGUGAUCUGCCCGCCUCAGCCUCCCAAAGUGCUGGGAUCUAUUGUGUAACUCUUAAAGCUGUUAGCAAAUGCUUGGUAAAUGGUAUCAUAAUUGUUGAACAGAAGCAUAUUGAAUUAUCCCUCUUCAAUCUGUACUCAAUAUAUGGAAAUGAAAGUGCUCAAGGAAAUUUCCUCCUAAGAUACGGGCUCUUGAUUUUACUCUUCUGUCAACAGAUAUCUAAAAAACAUGCAUUAACACAAUUGUUCUCAAAUCUUUUUACUACUUGGAGGCAUGUUCUUUCUUAUAGGCUAUACUUUUUCCAAGGACACAUUAUCUCAUCAAAGAGGAGCUGGUGGCCUGGGAGGACAAGUGCCUUGGCCAGAAUUGCAUGAUUAGAUAGCAGAGGUGGAACUGAAUCUUUGUCUUCUUUCUUCAAUGUUCUUUCCAGAGUACCAGGAUCUCUUUCUCUCUUAAAAGUGAUUUUUUUUUUUUUUUUUUUUUCAAAUCAAAGCCACAAUGCAAUACCACCUUAUUCCUGCAAGAAUGGCCAUAAUCAAAAAAUCAAAAAAUAAUAGAUGUUGGCAUGGAUGUGGUGAAAAGGGAACACUUUUACAUUCUUGGUGGAAAUGUAAAUUAGUACAACCACUAUGGAAAACAGUGUGGAGAUUCCUUAAAGAACUAGAGGUAGCUCUACCACUUGAUCCAGCAAUCCCACUCCUGGGUAUCUACCCAGAGGAAAAGAAGUCAUUAUACAAAAAAGAUAUUUGUACAUGCAUGUUUAUAGCAGCACAAUUCACAAUUGCAAAAAUAUGGAACCAGCCCAAAUGUACAUCAAUCAAUGAGUGGAUAAAGAAAAUGUGUAUAUAUACCAUGGAAUAUGAGUGGAUUAUACUCAGCCAUAGAAAGGAACAUAAUAAUGGCAUUUGUAGCAACCUGGAUGGAAUUGGAGACCAUUAUUCUAAGUGAAGUAACUCAGCAAUAGAAAUCCAAACAUCAGAUGUUCUCACAAGUAGGAGCUAAGCUAUGAGGUCACAAAGGCAUAAUAAUGAUACAAU
This 3033-nucleotide long non-coding RNA is filed under the name Homo sapiens (human). Its description in RNAcentral is "HSALNT0348459". Lineage: Eukaryota; Metazoa; Chordata; Mammalia; Primates; Hominidae. The record is from RNAcentral.